Molecule: ribosomal RNA, 301 nt
Filed under: uncultured bacterium
Lineage: Bacteria
Description: partial 16S ribosomal RNA
Rfam family: Bacterial small subunit ribosomal RNA
Source: RNAcentral
CAGUCGCCGCGGUAAUACGUAGGGUGCAAGCGUUAAUCGGAAUUACUGGGCGUAAAGCGUGCGUAGGCGGUGAGUUAAGUCUGCUGUGAAAUCCCCGGGCUCAACCUGGGAAUGGCAGUGGAUACUGGCUCGCUAGAGUGUGUCAGAGGAUGGUGGAAUUCCCGGUGUAGCGGUGAAAUGCGUAGAGAUCGGGAGGAACAUCAGUGGCGAAGGCGGCCAUCUGGGACAACACUGACGCUGAGGCACGAAAGCGUGGGGAGCAAACAGGAUUAGAUACCCGCGUAGUCCCUGUCUCUUAUAU